ACCCACGUGGUGAAAUAGGUAGACACGCCACCUUGAGGGGGUGGUAUCCAAUUCAGGAUAUGCUGGUUCGAAUCCAGUCGUGGGUA
Molecule: transfer RNA, 86 nt
Filed under: Blattabacterium sp. (Mastotermes darwiniensis) str. MADAR
Lineage: Bacteria; Pseudomonadati; Bacteroidota; Flavobacteriia; Flavobacteriales; Blattabacteriaceae
Also listed under: 1 other name
Description: tRNA-Leu (GAG) (tRNA-Leu-GAG-1-1)
Rfam family: tRNA
About the family: Transfer RNA (tRNA) molecules are approximately 80 nucleotides in length. Their secondary structure includes four short double-helical elements and three loops (D, anti-codon, and T loops). Further hydrogen bonds mediate the characteristic L-shaped molecular structure. tRNAs have two regions of fundamental functional importance: the anti-codon, which is responsible for specific mRNA codon recognition, and the 3' end, to which the tRNAs corresponding amino acid is attached (by aminoacyl-tRNA synthetases). tRNAs cope with the degeneracy of the genetic code in two manners: having more than one tRNA (with a specific anti-codon) for a particular amino acid; and 'wobble' base-pairing, i.e. permitting non-standard base-pairing at the 3rd anti-codon position.
Source: RNAcentral